Molecule: long non-coding RNA, 726 nt
Organism: Silurus meridionalis
Lineage: Eukaryota; Metazoa; Chordata; Actinopteri; Siluriformes; Siluridae
Exons: 2
Source: RefSeq, a predicted model, not a curated record
UGGCAAGAAGGAGACGAUGGGCUCGAGCCAGGAUGCUCAUGACUCCCAUCAUCCCUCCGAUAAAGAGCACAAUCACACUAAGGGGCAGCAACACGAUGAAGGUCGCCUGCAUGUCUCAUCUCGUUUGGAACAAGGUCUAGACUCUGACCUGGGCUUUCCAACAAGUGUAUUCGCUGUGAAGGUGAUUUAGUGAGGAGCUGGUGGAUUGUUUUUGUGCUGCUCUGCAGGAAACACGCAUACAGCAGCUGGCAAAUUGGGCAAAGUAAGUGAUUACAACGCAACAGUUUCCCUUUCUCAGCUGGUGGUGAUUUUAUAAGUGAUGAAGGACCAGAGGAAAACAAAGGCUGAGCGAUCACUGGAGAAAGAGCAUGACAUGUUCUAAAGUCUGCCUGCUUUUUCAGCUCUGAAGGGGAAAAAUGCACCGAGAUGUCAACCACUUCCACAAUGACAGACCUUUCUUCUUAACACAAUACACGCAUGCAGCAAGUAGCAGCUGUUGCUCAUCACGAACAUUUCUAAAAAAUUGCUUUUCCUCUAUCUGGCCAUCGAUAUUGGAUGUUAUCUUGAAAGAAUGCUGAUUUCAUUAGAAAACUCGAGUUACUGUUGUAUAGUGAUAAAUCUCAAGAGAUAACAUAUUGAACAAAAUGAUUAGGAAAGAUUGUUGUUUGAUGUUUGAUGAUUUUUAUUAGAAGUGUAAAUAAAUAAAUAUAAAGGAUGUGAAAUUAA